RNAcentral lists this transfer RNA (72 nucleotides) under bacterium. Its description in RNAcentral is "tRNA-Cys". It matches the Rfam family "tRNA". Rfam says of the family: Transfer RNA (tRNA) molecules are approximately 80 nucleotides in length. The record is from RNAcentral.
GGUCACGUAGCCAAGCGGUAAGGCGACAGUCUGCAAAACUGUUAUACGUGGGUUCAAUUCCCACCGUGACCU